This 393-nucleotide ribosomal RNA is filed under the name uncultured bacterium. RNAcentral's name for it is "bacterial SSU rRNA". It matches the Rfam family "Bacterial small subunit ribosomal RNA", at positions 975 to 1368 of the family's 1533-position model. The record is from RNAcentral.
CUGGGCUUGACAUGCAUCAGACAGCUGCAGAGAUGUGGUUUCCCUUGUGGUUGGUGUACAGGUGGUGCAUGGCUGUCGUCAGCUCGUGUCGUGAGAUGUUGGGUUAAGUCCCGCAACGAGCGCAACCCUUAUCCUAUGUUGCCAGCGGGUAAUGCCGGGGACUCGUGGGAGACUGCCGGGGUCAACUCGGAGGAAGGUGGGGAUGACGUCAAGUCAUCAUGCCCCUUAUGUCCAGGGCUUCACACAUGCUACAAUGGCUGGUACAGAGGGCUGCGAUACCGUGAGGUGGAGCGAAUCCCUUAAAGCCGGUCUCAGUUCGGAUCGCAGUCUGCAACUCGACUGCGUGAAGUCGGAGUCGCUAGUAAUCGCAGAUCAGCAACGCUGCGGUGAAUA